CCUACGGGUGGCUGCAGUGGGGAAUAUUGCACAACGGGCGCAAGCCUGAUGCAGCCAUGCCGCGUGUGUGAAGAAGGCCUUCGGGUUGUAAAGCACUUUCAGCGGGGAGGAAGGCGUUAAGGUUAAUAACCUUGGCGAUUGACGUUACCCGCAGAAGAAGCACCGGCUAACUCCGUGCCAGCAGCCGCGGUAAUACGGAGGGUGCAAGCGUUAAUCGGAAUUACUGGGCGUAAAGCGCACGCAGGCGGUCUGUCAAGUCGGAUGUGAAAUCCCCGGGCUCAACCUGGGAACUGCAUUCGAAACUGGCAGGCUAGAGUCUUGUAGAGGGGGGUAGAAUUCCAGGUGUAGCGGUGAAAUGCGUAGAGGUCUGGAGGAAUACCGGUGGCGAAGGCGGCCCCCUGGACAAAGACUGACGCUCAGGUGCGAAAGCGUGGGGAGCAAACAGGAUUAGAUACCCUUGUAGUC
RNAcentral lists this ribosomal RNA (465 nucleotides) under uncultured Klebsiella sp. RNAcentral's name for it is "bacterial SSU rRNA". It matches the Rfam family "Bacterial small subunit ribosomal RNA", at positions 338 to 795 of the family's 1533-position model. Lineage: Bacteria; Pseudomonadati; Pseudomonadota; Gammaproteobacteria; Enterobacterales; Enterobacteriaceae. The record is from RNAcentral.